AGAGUUUGAUCCUGGCUCAGGACGAACGCUGGCGGCGUGCCUAAUACAUGCAAGUCGAGCGGACAGAUGGGAGCUUGCUCCCUGAUGUUAGCGGCGGACGGGUGAGUAACACGUGGGUAACCUGCCUGUAAGACUGGGAUAACUCCGGGAAACCGGGGCUAAUACCGGAUGAUUGUUUGAACCGCAUGGUUCAGACAUAAAAGGUGGCUUCGGCUACCACUUACAGAUGGACCCGCGGCGCAUUAGCUAGUUGGUGAGGUAACGGCUCACCAAGGCAACGAUGCGUAGCCGACCUGAGAGGGUGAUCGGCCACACUGGGACUGAGACACGGCCCAGACUCCUACGGGAGGCAGCAGUAGGGAAUCUUCCGCAAUGGACGAAAGUCUGACGGAGCAACGCCGCGUGAGUGAUGAAGGUUUUCGGAUCGUAAAGCUCUGUUGUUAGGGAAGAACAAGUGCCGUUCAAAUAGGGCGGCACCUUGACGGUACCUAACCAGAAAGCCACGGCUAACUACGUGCCAGCAGCCGCGGUAAUACGUAGGUGGCAAGCGUUGUCCGGAAUUAUUGGGCGUAAAGGGCUCGCAGGCGGUUUCUUAAGUCUGAUGUGAAAGCCCCCGGCUCAACCGGGGAGGGUCAUUGGAAACUGGGGAACUUGAGUGCAGAAGAGGAGAGUGGAAUUCCACGUGUAGCGGUGAAAUGCGUAGAGAUGUGGAGGAACACCAGUGGCGAAGGCGACUCUCUGGUCUGUAACUGACGCUGAGGAGCGAAAGCGUGGGGAGCGAACAGGAUUAGAUACCCUGGUAGUCCACGCCGUAAACGAUGAGUGCUAAGUGUUAGGGGGUUUCCGCCCCUUAGUGCUGCAGCUAACGCAUUAAGCACUCCGCCUGGGGAGUACGGUCGCAAGACUGAAACUCAAAGGAAUUGACGGGGGCCCGCACAAGCGGUGGAGCAUGUGGUUUAAUUCGAAGCAACGCGAAGAACCUUACCAGGUCUUGACAUCCUCUGACAAUCCUAGAGAUAGGACGUCCCCUUCGGGGGCAGAGUGACAGGUGGUGCAUGGUUGUCGUCAGCUCGUGUCGUGAGAUGUUGGGUUAAGUCCCGCAACGAGCGCAACCCUUGAUCUUAGUUGCCAGCAUUCAGUUGGGCACUCUAAGGUGACUGCCGGUGACAAACCGGAGGAAGGUGGGGAUGACGUCAAAUCAUCAUGCCCCUUAUGACCUGGGCUACACACGUGCUACAAUGGACAGAACAAAGGGCAGCGAAACCGCGAGGUUAAGCCAAUCCCACAAAUCUGUUCUCAGUUCGGAUCGCAGUCUGCAACUCGACUGCGUGAAGCUGGAAUCGCUAGUAAUCGCGGAUCAGUAUGCCGCGGUGAAUACGUUCCCGGGCCUUGUACACACCGCCCGUCACACCACGAGAGUUUGUAACACCCGAAGUCGGUGAGGUAACCUUUUAGGAGCCAGCCGCCGAAGGUGGGACAGAUGAUUGGGGUGAAGUCGUAACAAGGUAGCCGUAUCGGAAGGUGCGGCUGGAUCACCUCCUU
RNAcentral lists this ribosomal RNA (1542 nucleotides) under Bacillus sp. B54. RNAcentral describes it as "bacterial SSU rRNA". It matches the Rfam family "Bacterial small subunit ribosomal RNA". Lineage: Bacteria; Bacillati; Bacillota; Bacilli; Caryophanales; Bacillaceae. The record is from RNAcentral.